GAUGAACGCUGGCGGCGUGCCUAAUACAUGCAAGUCGAGCGAACAGACGAGGAGUUUGCUCCUCUGACGUUAGCGGCGGACGGGUGAGUAACACGUGGAUAACCUACCUAUAAGACUGGGAUAACUUCGGGAAACCGGAGCUAAUACCGGAUAAUAUAUUGAACCGCAUGGUUCAGUAGUGAAAGACGGUUUUGCUGUCACUUAUAGAUGGAUCCGCGCCGCAUUAGCUAGUUGGUAAGGUAACGGCUUAACAAGGCAGCGAUGCGUAGACGACCUGAGAGAGUGAUCGGCCACACUGGAGGUGAGACAGGGUCCAGACUCCUACGGGAGGCAGCAGUCGGGAAUCUUACGCAAUGGGCGAAAGCCUGACGGAGCAACGCCGCGUGAAUGAUGAAGGUCUUCGGAUCGUAAAACUCUGUUAUUAGGGGAGAACAAAUGUGUAAGUAACUAUGCACGUCUUGACGGUACCUAAUCAGAAAGCCACGGCUAACUACGUG
Molecule: ribosomal RNA, 497 nt
Filed under: uncultured bacterium
Lineage: Bacteria
Description: partial 16S ribosomal RNA
Rfam family: Bacterial small subunit ribosomal RNA
Source: RNAcentral